GAAGAGGCUGAAAACUUCCCUCCAGUCAGAGCUCGAAACCGGAAGAUUGCUGAUGAUGCCGAUCAAGGCUGACAAGAAGAGGACGCCAAAGUUUGAGAGGAGGCGGCGGCGGCGUUCCCUUCUCAGUUGUUGAUGCAGAUUUGUGUUCCCUGGAUACAGAAGAAUACUGAGGAUAAGGAGCAGUAGGUUGCUGCUGGGCAAUUUUGGUUUCCCAGAAAAGGGAGAAAUGGGGCUCUUUUACAGAUAAGGUGAAAUGGGAGGUGGAUACUAACAGGCCAUUUUAGUGCCAGGUUUUUUGAAGGCACAUAAGAAAAAGACAAGAAUUAUUUUGUUGGUUUUGGUUUUUGUUGAUUCGGCGAGGCUGGGCAUGCUAGUGGUGAACCUGCUGCAUACCAUGUACAAUUGUGAGUUACACUACAGAAUCAAAAUUUUCCCCUUUUUAUUGAUUUUCUAGAGAUACAGCUGUUCCCCUUCUCCUUUGGAGCACACUUUGUUUGUUUCCCACAUUGUAAUUGUAACCGUAGGAUGUGCAAGUUGAGUUGCACCUGUUGAAAAGUAUAUGUUUCGGUUCAUUUGGUUUUAGAGAAUACAGUAUUGUUUCCAUUACACAAGGCUCCGUCUGUGUGUUUGUAAAUUGAUGUCUUAUGUCUUAUGCCUGGACUAGUGGAGCCUUUAAUUUUGCACGAAAGGAAAGGAGGGCUUGUGAUAUGAUGAAGAAAGAAGGAACAUGAGCACGUGUAAAGCAUGCAGGUACUGUGGCAUGGUGUGGACCGAUGCAUGACAAUGGACAAAGUGUUGUGCCGGCCCCUUUUUGAAUGUGGCACUUGUCAAUCAGUUUCAGUUGAUGAUGUCUUUGGUUGGCUAAGCAAAAGAAAACAAGUCUCUUGGAGGUGAGGAUCACAUGGCAUGCCUGCAUGUUUUUUUUCUUGGAUCCAUUGAUAGUUGUAAGACAGCACACGCUGGAAGGAAGUAGGACGGACGUACAGUACAGGGGGUAAAAAGAAAAAGGAAAAAAAAACAUGCUGAUGGGGUGAGAGAGGCUCGAACUCUCGACCUCAGGAUCACUCGCUUUAGCUAUGAGACCUACGCGCUAACCAACUGCGCCACCACCCCGUCACGCUCUUGCAGAUUUGUGUCUCGUAUUGUUCUUAGUCUCUGGUAUUUAGAAUAUACUAUAACAACUUAACUAAAGACCGAAAUUAACUAAUGAGAUGGUUAAGCCAUUGUGUUCUUUGAGAGCUGAGAUGCUUGGGUGGUGGGCCCCGGGUGUCGACGAGCAGAUGUGCUUGGGCUGGGUGGGGUGGGUCGGAGGCCGCCCUUCCCUUCUUCUUUUGCUCUCCCAUUCCGAUUCCGAUUCCGAUUCCAAUUCUUCUUCCUCCUCCUCCUCCUAACAACCUUGGAUUGGAUUCACAUCAUCAAUCAAUCCUCUUUGAUUUUUGCCGCAGGAAGGAUGAUGAUGCCCAUGCCCAUGCCCUCGUCGUCGUCGUCGUCGCCGUCUAUGGCCGCCGCCGCCACCAAAUCUCCCCUCCUCCCUCCCCCAUUCCUCUCCGCCUCUCCCCGCCCGCACCUCCGCGCCGCCUUCCUCGCCCUCAGACCCCGCCGCGUUCCGCUGCUCGCCACGCCCGCCCCGGAUGCCACGCCCGCACCGGACGCCACCACCACCAACAACCCCUUCGCCGCGCUCGUCGACGCCCCCCGCACGCUGUGGCGCCGCACCCUCCAGCCCCUGGGGGACUACGGCUUCGGCAAGCGCAGCGUCUGGGAGGGCGGCGUCGGCCUCUUCAUGGUCUCCGGGGCCGCGCUCCUCGCCCUCGCCCUCGCCUGGCUCAGGGGAUUCCAGCUCCGCUCCCGAUUCCGCAAGUACAACACCGUCUUCGAGUUCACGCAGGCCUGCGGGAUCUGCGUCGGCACGCCCGUACGCAUACGAGGGGUCACCGUCGGAUCCGUCGUCCGCGUCGACUCAUCCCUAAGGAGCAUCGAUGCGCUAGUCGAGGUCCCUCUCCCUCUAUUGCUUUGUUCCUUUGCACUAGUAAUUCAUACUCCCUCUUCAUAAGCUACUACAACCUGAAUGUCCAACCUCCACCACUAAUACCCUAACUUAAUCGUCUCAAUCUCUCUCCAUUUCCAUCGCUAAUCCCCUAAGUUUGUCAUCGUGGCAGGUCGAAGAUGAUAAAAUCAUUAUACCACGCAAUUCACUGGUUGAGGUCAAUCAGUCUGGUCUUCUAAUGGAGACACUCAUUGAUAUCACACCAAAGGAUCCACUCCCCGCACCUUCAGUAGGGCCACUUCACCCAGACUGUGCCAAAGAAGGCUUGAUUCUCUGUGACAAACAGAGGAUCAAAGGACAGCAAGGAGUAAGCUUAGAUGCCAUGGUCGGAAUAUUUACCCGUCUAGGAAGAGACAUGGAGGAAAUUGGUGUUAGCAAAAGCUAUAAGUUGGCUGAAAAAGUUGCAUCCAUAAUGGAAGAGGCACAACCUCUUCUUACACGGGUACAAAUUCUUCUCUCCAUUCUUCCCCAUAACAGUUUGCAAGCCUGCUUACCUUGUUGGAAUGCCUGUGGAACCAAUUCUUUCAGCCAAUACUGCUAAAUAGGCUUCAUUCUGCACGGCUUUCAUAACCUUUCCCAACAUGCCUCAUGUGCAAUUCAUUGUUCACCAAAAUAGAUUCCCACUUCCACUUAUUCGCCUUGGCACACUACUAGAUAUCCCAAAUACCAGCGUGGCUGAGGUAGAAAUAGUACAGCUCGCCCAUGCUUACAGUGAGACUUGAGCUGGACUGCUGAGAUCGGGUUCCCUAUGCAGCAUACCUUCCCAGUUGGCAUGUUUACUUGCCUCUGCUUUAUGAGUAAUAGUGAACAGGAGGGGACCUCAACGUAGUUGGAGUGUGGUGUUAGCUUAUUCUUCUUUAUGUUGUAUGCUUUUGAAAAAAUGGGUGGAGCGUCGUGCUUCCUCCAUAUAGUAUGCGGAUUUUAUUCUGUCUGCUAAACAGGGUUUUGGAAGCUAAUUGUGUUGUUAGAUGUGAUAUGCAUGGAAUUAAUGCUAGUUAUGGAACAACAGAUUGAGGCCUUAGCUGAAGAAAUCCAGCCUAUGCUCUCUGAGGUUCGUGGUAGCGAUCUGCUCAAGGAUGUGGAGACUAUAGCUAAAGGCCUGGCUGAUGCGUCUGGUGACUUGAGGUACUACUGCCUGGAAAGCACAAUGAUGCAAAAAUUCCUAUUUUCCUUUGAUGAUAGGGUGGACACUUGAUAAUUUCUUUUCGUUGGCACUGUCCUGCAGGAGGCUCAAGUCGUCCAUGCUAACCCCAGAGAACACAGAUCUCAUUAAGCAGUCUAUUUUCACCCUUAUAUUUACGCUCAAGAACAUCGAGGUAUGUGCUUUUGACACACCCAACAAUUUUUGUGGUAUCUGUUUCUCGAACUGAACAAGAGGUUGACGUGCCCCUUACCUUGGUUAAAAUUCAGAGUAUCAGCUCGGACAUCUCUGGCUUCACGGGUGAUGAGACGACACGGCGGAACAUCAAGCUUCUGAUCAAGUCUC
This 3533-nucleotide long non-coding RNA is filed under the name Setaria italica (foxtail millet). RNAcentral describes it as "long non-coding RNA (SITA_LNC004206)". The record is from RNAcentral. Lineage: Eukaryota; Viridiplantae; Streptophyta; Magnoliopsida; Poales; Poaceae.